GCGACCCCAGGAUGGGCGAGACCACCCGCUGAGUUUAAGCAUAUCAUA
Molecule: ribosomal RNA, 48 nt
Filed under: Dendrobium bigibbum var. bigibbum
Lineage: Eukaryota; Viridiplantae; Streptophyta; Magnoliopsida; Asparagales; Orchidaceae
Description: partial 26S ribosomal RNA
Source: RNAcentral